RNAcentral lists this ribosomal RNA (263 nucleotides) under uncultured bacterium. RNAcentral's name for it is "partial 16S ribosomal RNA". It matches the Rfam family "Bacterial small subunit ribosomal RNA", at positions 90 to 354 of the family's 1533-position model. The record is from RNAcentral.
ACUUAGUGGCGGACGGGUGAGUAACGCGUGGGUAACCUGGCCCAUACAGGGGGAUAACACUUAGAAAUAGGUGCUAAUACCGCAUAACAACAGAAAGCGCAUGCUUUUUGUUUGAAAACCAAGGUGGUAUGGGAUGGACCCGCGUCUGAUUAGCUGGUUGGCGGGGUAAAGGCCCACCAAGGCGACGAUCAGUAGCCGGCCUGAGAGGGUGGACGGCCACAUUGGGACUGAGACACGGCCCAGACUCCUACGGGAGGCAGCAG